RNAcentral lists this long non-coding RNA (573 nucleotides) under Ananas comosus (pineapple). Its description in RNAcentral is "long non-coding RNA (ACOM_LNC044005)". The record is from RNAcentral. Lineage: Eukaryota; Viridiplantae; Streptophyta; Magnoliopsida; Poales; Bromeliaceae.
AUACUUAAUAAAUUAAAUUCAAUCAAUAGGUGAAUGAUAUAUAUAUAUAGAGAGAGAGAGAGAGAGUUUGGUUACUAUACUCUUAUGAGUAAAGAAUUUUCUGUACUCAUAAAAUUUCGGUUGUUAGAUUUAUUCUUUUGACUAUUUUCAUCUGUUGAAUUAGACUAUCCUCAUAAGUUUUUAUAUAUAUAUAUAUAUAUAUAUAUAUAUAUAUAUAUAGAGAGAGAGAGAGAGAGAGAGAGAGAGAGAGAGAGAGAGAGAGAGAGAGAAUUAGGCUGGAAUACUAUUAAUAGUAAAACGUUCUUUUUGCUAUCAAGUUUUUAACCCUUGGAUGAAAAAUUAUAGAGUCAGAAUGAUAUUAGUCGGUUAGAGUUGAGUGGUCCCCCUAGGGUUGAGUGGUCCCCACUGGGUUAUAGUAUUUAAUCCAAUGGUUAGAAAUAAUGAAAAGAAUUGAUCCAAAGGCUGAAGAACUGGUAGCAACAAUGGAAUUUUGCUACUAAUAGUAGUCCAGUCCAACUCUCUCUCUCUCUAUAUAUAUAUAAACUAUCAGUAGGUUAAAAUCCUAAACUAUAU